This 441-nucleotide ribosomal RNA is filed under the name uncultured bacterium. RNAcentral describes it as "partial 16S ribosomal RNA". It matches the Rfam family "Bacterial small subunit ribosomal RNA", at positions 338 to 795 of the family's 1533-position model. The record is from RNAcentral.
CCUACGGGCGGCAGCAGUGGGGAAUAUUGCACAAUGGGGGAAACCCUGAUGCAGCAACGCCGCGUGAGUGAAGAAGGUUUUCGGAUUGUAAAGCUCUGUUAGCAGGGAAGAGGAAGGACGGUACCUGCAGAGGAAGCCACGGCUAACUACGUGCCAGCAGCCGCGGUAAUACGUAGGUGGCAAGCUUUGUUCGGAAUAACUGGGCGUAAAGGGCGUGUAGCCGGGCUGACAAGUCAGAUGUGAAAUCCGGGGGCUCAACCCCCGAACUGCAUUUGAAACUGUUGGUCUUGAGUAUCGGAGAGGCAGGCGGAAUUCCUAGUGUAGCGGUGAAAUGCGUAGAUAUUAGGAGGAACACCAGUGGCGAAGGCGGCCUGCUGGACGACAACUGACGGUGAGGCGCGAAAGCGUGGGGAGCAAACAGGAUUAGAUACCCUUGUAGUC